This 110-nucleotide ribosomal RNA is filed under the name uncultured bacterium. RNAcentral describes it as "partial 16S ribosomal RNA". It matches the Rfam family "Bacterial small subunit ribosomal RNA", at positions 1373 to 1482 of the family's 1533-position model. The record is from RNAcentral.
CUCGGGCCUUGUACACACCGCCCGUCACACCCCGAAAGCGGGGAACAGAUGAAGCCGGUGGCCCAACCGUAAGGAGGGAGCCGUCGAGUCUGGGCUUCGUGAUUGGGGUG